Molecule: ribosomal RNA, 483 nt
Filed under: uncultured bacterium
Lineage: Bacteria
Description: partial 16S ribosomal RNA
Rfam family: Bacterial small subunit ribosomal RNA
Source: RNAcentral
GAUGAACGCUAGCGGCAGGCCUAAUACAUGCAAGCCGAACGGCAAGUUUGAUAGCAAUAUUGGACCUAGAGUGGCGCAAGGGUGCGUAACACGUAUGCAACCUGCCCGCGACAGGAGGAUAGCUCCCCGAAAGGGGAAUUAACCCUCCAUAACACCAUGUGAAGGCAUCUGAUUAUGGUUAAACCGCAAGGGGUCGCGGAUGGGCAUGCGGUUGAUUAGCUAGUUGGCGGGGUAAAGGCCCACCAAGGCGGUGAUCAAUAGGGGUUCUGAGAGGAAGGUCCCCCACACUGGCACUGGGAUACGGGCCAGACUCCUACGGGAGGCAGCAGUAGGGAAUAUUGGACAAUGGUUGCAAGACUGAUCCAGCCAUGCCGCGUGCAGGAAGAAGGCCUUCUGGGUCGUAAACUGCUUUUUCCUGUGGAUAAAAUACCCGUGCGCGGGGAAUUGAAGGUAACAGGGGAAUAAGCCACGGCUAACUACGUG